UACGUAGGGGGCUAGCGUUAUCCGGAAUUACUGGGCGUAAAGGGUGCGUAGGCGGUCUUUCAAGCCAGAAGUGAAAGGCUACGGCUCAACCGUAGUAAGCUUUUGGAACUGUGGGACUUGAGUGCAGGAGAGGAGAGUGGAAUUCCUAGUGUAGCGGUGAAAUGCGUAGAUAUUAGGAGGAACACCAGUAGCGAAGGCGGCUCUCUGGACUGUAACUGACGCUGAGGCACGAAAGCGUGGGGAGCAAACAGG
Molecule: ribosomal RNA, 252 nt
Filed under: uncultured prokaryote
Description: partial 16S ribosomal RNA
Rfam family: Bacterial small subunit ribosomal RNA
Source: RNAcentral